AACUUCAAUGUGAGUUGGUUAACUUCAAACAGAAGUAGAAUGCAAUGAAUAUUCUAAUUUUGUAAUAAGCUGUAAACAUUUAAAUAUAUUUCUAUUAUCUUGCUUUCAAAGAUUAAGUUUGGCUUAUAACUUAAAAAAGAAAAAAAGUGUUAGAGUAAUCAAACUUGCUUUCAAGGGAAGCACAUAGACUUUAGUUGAUUAAUGGCAGUAAAAGAUUCAACUUCUCAGACAGCAUUGAAUCCUUCCCCUUUCAAGCUCAGGUAUUUACAAGCCUCAUGCAUCAAUAAUGUUAGACAACACACCAUGAGUCAUGCAAAAACAACGGAAUUAACAAACACUUUGUUAGGAUUUUUUGCAACCAGAGCUAAAAAUAAUGCAGGCAGAAAAAAAUAUUUCCUGGGUAAACAAUAACCAGAUAAUCACAACAAGGAAAAAAAAUGAUUAAAAGUUAACUGAAAUAACACCCGAUUUAGCAAGAAAAAGAAAACCUGUAUUUUAAAAUCCUGAUGGGGAAGUUAAAGAGACUGAAACAAAUAAGAUGGUUUUGUUUUAACCUUUUAGUCCAGGUUGUUACGCUCCGAUGUCUUUUUGUAUUUACCAUAGUGCUCUCUGUCCCUUCUCGGUAUUUGUGAAAAGAAAGAAAAGUGGUAACAAAGAAGGAGAGAGGACAGAAGGAUGGGGAACUAAAACAACCUCCACACCAGUGAAGAAGAGAGAAAGAACACAUUGUGUUAUCGAGUAAACAUUAUCAGGUUUACAGGCGUUACUCGGCUACCUGUGGGACGCUUUCUAACAAAGGACUUGAUGAGAUGAGUUGCCUGCUGCCAUCUCAAGGCAAAGUCCUCAACCUGCUCAUCCUCUCUCCUGUGAAAAUGGAGGAUAAUUCAAGUCUACACUUCUUGCAAAGAGUGGCGCUUAGAGUUCUGGGAUUGCAUGACGUCUUGUUUUUUAAACUGUGACACAGCCCUCCCCACUGGAAAGAAAAAAAAAAAAUAGGUGUUUCUCUACUCUGCAUGAGUAAGUAAAGGAUUAUCUUUAAUUU
This is a long non-coding RNA of Panthera uncia (snow leopard), 1042 nucleotides long. RefSeq lists it as uncharacterized. NCBI's taxonomy places the organism in Eukaryota, Metazoa, Chordata, Mammalia, Carnivora, Felidae. The transcript has 4 exons. The record is from RefSeq and is a predicted model, not a curated record.